RNAcentral lists this transfer RNA (66 nucleotides) under Xizicus fascipes. Its description in RNAcentral is "tRNA-His". Lineage: Eukaryota; Metazoa; Arthropoda; Insecta; Orthoptera; Tettigoniidae. The record is from RNAcentral.
AUUUAAGUAGUUUAUUGAAAAUAUUGAUUUGUGGUGUCAAUGUAGUAAUAUUAUUUACCUUAGAUC